Molecule: unclassified non-coding RNA, 220 nt
Filed under: uncultured Hygrocybe
Lineage: Eukaryota; Fungi; Basidiomycota; Agaricomycetes; Agaricales; Hygrophoraceae
Description: sequence contains ITS1
Source: RNAcentral
CUGAAGUGAUUUGGGGGAUGUUGCUGGCCUCUUCUCAGGGGCAAAUGUGCACUCCCUGAACAAUUCACAAUUUCCAUCACACCCUUGUGCACAUCCUGUAGGUGCGCACCCUCCUCUCCAAGGGUUGGGUCGUCCUAUGUAUUCUCUCAUCUCACACUUUUUUUGAAUGGUGCUCUUGAAUGCAUCUUAUGGAUUAUUUGUAAAAAAGUAAUCACAGAAA